RNAcentral lists this ribosomal RNA (592 nucleotides) under Wolbachia endosymbiont of Bemisia tabaci. Its description in RNAcentral is "bacterial SSU rRNA". It matches the Rfam family "Bacterial small subunit ribosomal RNA", at positions 197 to 809 of the family's 1533-position model. Lineage: Bacteria; Pseudomonadati; Pseudomonadota; Alphaproteobacteria; Rickettsiales; Anaplasmataceae. The record is from RNAcentral.
CGGGGGAAAAAUUUAUUGCUAUUAGAUGAGCCUAUAUUAGAUUAGCUAGUUGGUGGAGUAAUAGCCUACCAAGGCAAUGAUCUAUAGCUGAUCUGAGAGGAUGAUCAGCCACACUGGAACUGAGAUACGGUCCAGACUCCUACGGGAGGCAGCAGUGGGGAAUAUUGGACAAUGGGCGAAAGCCUGAUCCAGCCAUGCCGCAUGAGUGAAGAAGGCCUUUGGGUUGUAAAGCUCUUUUAGUGAGGAAGAUAAUGACGGUACUCACAGAAGAAGUCCUGGCUAACUCCGUGCCAGCAGCCGCGGUAAUACGGAGAGGGCUAGCGUUAUUCGGAAUUAUUGGGCGUAAAGGGCGCGUAGGCUGAUUAAUAAGUUAAAAGUGAAAUCCCGAGGCUUAACCUUGGAAUUGCUUUUAAAACUAUUAAUCUAGAGAUUGAAAGAGGAUAGAGGAAUUCCUGAUGUAGAGGUAAAAUUCGUAAAUAUUAGGAGGAACACCAGUGGCGAAGGCGUCUAUCUGGUUCAAAUCUGACGCUGAGGCGCGAAGGCGUGGGGAGCAAACAGGAUUAGAUACCCUGGUAGUCCACGCUAUAAACGA